GACAGAGGGGGCAAGCGUUGCUCGGAAUCACUGGGCGUAAAGGGCGCGUAGGCGGGACGGUAAGUCGGUCGUGAAAUCCUUCGGCUCAACUGAAGGGGGUCGGUCGAUACUAUCGUUCUUGAGGGAUGCAGAGGAGACUGGAAUUCCCGGUGUAGCGGUGAAAUGUGUAGAGAUCGGGAGGAACACCGGUGGCGAAGGCGGGUCUCUGGGCAUCUCCUGACGCUGAGGCGCGAAAGCGUGGGGAGCAAACGGGAUUAGAUACCCCGGUAGUCCACGCGGUAAACGAUGACGACUAGGUGUGGGGGGGUUUAGGCCUUUCCGUGCCGCAGCUAACGCAUUAAGUCGUCCGCCUGGGGAGUACGGCCGCAAGGUUGAAACUCAAAGGAAUUGACGGGGGCCCGCACAAGCGGUGGAGCAUGUGGUUCAAUUCGAUGCAGAGCGAAGAACCUUACCUGGGCUUGACAUGUAGGAAGUAGAAACCGGAAACGGCGACGACCUGUUAAGUCAGGAGCCUACACAGGUGGCGCAUGGCUGUCGUCAGCUCGUGCCGUGAGGUGUUGGGUUAAGUCCCGCAACGAGCGCAACCCUCACCCGAUGUUGCCAACGGUUCGGCCGGGCACUCUUCGGGAACUGCCAGCGAAGAGCUGGAGGAAGGGGGGGAUGACGUCAAGUCCGUAUGCCCCUUAUGUCCAGGGCUACACACAUGCUACAAUGGUCGGUACAGAGGGUCGCGAACCCGCGAGGGGGAGCCAAUCCCACAACGCCGAUCUCAGUUCGGAUUGUAGGCUGCAACUCGCCUACAUGAAGGCGGAAUCGCUAGUAAGCGCAGAUCAGCAGGCUGCGCUGAAUACGUUCCCGGGCCU
This 863-nucleotide ribosomal RNA is filed under the name uncultured bacterium. RNAcentral's name for it is "bacterial SSU rRNA". It matches the Rfam family "Bacterial small subunit ribosomal RNA", at positions 524 to 1381 of the family's 1533-position model. The record is from RNAcentral.